Molecule: ribosomal RNA, 406 nt
Filed under: uncultured bacterium
Lineage: Bacteria
Description: partial 16S ribosomal RNA
Rfam family: Bacterial small subunit ribosomal RNA
Source: RNAcentral
AUUGAACGCUGGCGGCAGGCCUAACACAUGCAAGUCGAGCGAGCGGCGGACGGGGGAGUAAUGGAUGGGAAACUGCAUGAUGGAGGGGGAGAACUAAUGGAAACGGUAGCUAAUACCGCAUACCAUAAGUGGUGGCUAGAUGGGAUAAGCAAGUAGGUGGGGUAAUGACUAACCUAGGCGACGAUCCCUAGCUGGUCUGCGAGGAUGGCCAGCCACACUGGAACUGAUACACGGUCCAGACUCCGACGGGAGGCAGCAGUGGGGAAUAUUGCACAAUGGGCGCAAGCCUGAUGCAGCCAUGCCGCGUGUGUGAAGAAGGCCUUCGGGUUGUAAAGCACUUUCAGCGGGGAGGCGUUACCCGCAGAAGAAGCACCGGCUAACUCCGUGCCAGCAGCCGCGGUAAUAC